Cinara cedri is the source of this 270-nucleotide non-coding RNA. The record is from the annotation of a GenBank genome assembly. NCBI's taxonomy places the organism in Eukaryota, Metazoa, Arthropoda, Insecta, Hemiptera, Aphididae.
GUACUCGACAAAAAAUUGGUAGAGUCCACGAUUUCUAAAAAUCUUUCAUCUUUCAUCAAUAUUCUACAAAAGGUUAAGAACCACUGCUAUAUAGAACUCAAAUAUGAGAUCAAAUUAAAAAAUUUUUCAUUUUCAUGAAAAACCUAGUUUUUCCUGAUCUAAUGCUGUAUAGCAUCAUUGAGAGUAUAGGGAUAUAUAUUUUACACUUUAAAUUUGAACUUGGAUAUUUAUUCUAAAAUAAAAUUAUCAACUUUUUAAAAAAUAUAUAAA